GAUGAACGCUGGCGGCGUGCCUAACACAUGCAAGUCGAGCGAUCUUCUUCGGAAGAGAGCGGCGGACGGGUGAGUAACACGUGGGUAACCUGCCCUGUACACACGGAUAACAUACCGAAAGGUAUGCUAAUACGGAUAAUAUGCUUUUAUCGCAUGGUAGAAGUAUCAAAGCUCCGGCGGUACAGGAUGGACCCGCGUCUGAUUAGCUAGUUGGUAAGGUAACGGCUUACCAAGGCGACGAUCAGUAGCCGACCUGGGAGGGUGAUCGGCCACAUUGGAACUGAGACACGGUCCAAACUCCUACGGGAGGCAGCAGUGGGGAAUAUUGCACAAUGGGCGAAAGCCUGAUGCAGCAACGCCGCGUGAGCGAUGAAGGCCUUCGGGUUGUAAAGCUCUGUCCUCAAGGAAGAUAAUGACGGUACUUGAGGAGGAAGCCCCGGCUAACUACGUGCCAGCCGCCGCCGUAA
RNAcentral lists this ribosomal RNA (467 nucleotides) under uncultured bacterium. RNAcentral describes it as "partial 16S ribosomal RNA". It matches the Rfam family "Bacterial small subunit ribosomal RNA", at positions 28 to 523 of the family's 1533-position model. The record is from RNAcentral.